GGGCCGUUGGCAGAGCGAAUAUGCAGCCGCCUUUUAAACGGAUAGAUCUAGGUUUAACUCCUAGGCGGCCCACCA
RNAcentral lists this transfer RNA (75 nucleotides) under Acaryochloris sp. CCMEE 5410. Its description in RNAcentral is "tRNA-Lys". It matches the Rfam family "tRNA". Rfam says of the family: Transfer RNA (tRNA) molecules are approximately 80 nucleotides in length. Lineage: Bacteria; Bacillati; Cyanobacteriota; Cyanophyceae; Acaryochloridales; Acaryochloridaceae. The record is from RNAcentral.